This 253-nucleotide ribosomal RNA is filed under the name uncultured bacterium. Its description in RNAcentral is "partial 16S ribosomal RNA". It matches the Rfam family "Bacterial small subunit ribosomal RNA", at positions 524 to 776 of the family's 1533-position model. The record is from RNAcentral.
UACGUAGGGUGCAAGCGUUGUCCGGAAUUAUUGGGCGUAAAGAGCUCGUAGGCGGUCUGUCGCGUCGGCUGUGAAAACUCGGGGCUCAACCCCGAGCCUGCAGUCGAUACGGGCAGACUAGAGUUCGGUAGGGGAGACUGGAAUUCCUGGUGUAGCGGUGAAAUGCGCAGAUAUCAGGAGGAACACCGGUGGCGAAGGCGGGUCUCUGGGCCGAAACUGACGCUGAGGCGCGAAAGCCAGGGGAGCAAACGGG